AAUGGAAUGACUGAAUAGUAGGUGAUAAAUUGUAAAUUUAUAGAUGAUUAAUAAAUAAUCUUCCAUUA
RNAcentral lists this transfer RNA (68 nucleotides) under Anomopsocus amabilis. RNAcentral describes it as "tRNA-Tyr". The record is from RNAcentral. Lineage: Eukaryota; Metazoa; Arthropoda; Insecta; Psocodea; Lachesillidae.